AACGAACGCUGGCGGCAUGCCUAACACAUGCAAGUCGAACGAGACCUUCGGGUCUAGUGGCGCACGGGUGCGUAACGCGUGGGAACCUGCCCUUAGGUUCGGAAUAACUCCCCGAAAGGGGUGCUAAUACCGGAUAAUGUCUUCGGACCAAAGAUUUAUGGCCUUUGGAUGGGCCCGCGUUGGAUUAGCUAGUUGGUGGGGUAAAAGCCUACCAAGGCGACGAUCCAUAGCUGGUCUGAGAGGAUGAUCAGCCACACUGGGACUGGGACACGGCCAGACUCCUACGGGAGGCAGCAGUGGGGAAUAUUGGACAAUGGGCGAAAGCCUGAUCCAGCAAUGCCGCGUGAGUGAUGAAGGCCUUAGGGUUGUAAAGCUCUUUUACCCGGGAUGAUAAUGACAGUACCGGGAGAAUAAGCUCCGGCUAACUCCGUG
RNAcentral lists this ribosomal RNA (432 nucleotides) under uncultured bacterium. Its description in RNAcentral is "partial 16S ribosomal RNA". It matches the Rfam family "Bacterial small subunit ribosomal RNA", at positions 29 to 507 of the family's 1533-position model. The record is from RNAcentral.